UCUGCUUUGGGGCUGAGGCUAUGCAAGUAGUGUCCCCUUAGGCCACAGAAAGGGAAAGUGUCACUUUUGAUCCCAGUGCUGAGGUGCGCAGGGUAGAGCAGUCCCAGUGUGUAUCGUGUCACUUGUCUAACGUACCUGGUGUUGUUUAUAUGUCUCAUGUCAUGCAUCGUCUACCUUAGCCCUUUGAGGGGCCCAUCAGAAACCCUGGCAUCAUUCUUAGCGUCUGUGAUCUCUGCAUUUCUUGGCCUGGCACAAAUGCAGUAGGACUUUUGGCUCAGGAGCUCAGACAGGCAUCAGAAUUGCAUUUCUGUUUGGGAGCUUCCAGUCAGAUGUCUUUGCAGGUCUUGUUCUGAGCUGUACGUACUGCUGUGCAUCGCAAGGAUCCAUUAUGGCAGAUUAGGGCUUGUAAGAAUGCAAAGAUAGGUAGAGGAUUCUGACUGUAGGAUUCUCAGAUGUCCAUCUUUGCAGUUCUUUGACAAAAUCAUUCUCUUAGGAGAUACUUCCUCCAUGGUUGUCUGAGCCUCAUCAGCUCACUGUCAAUCUCACCUCAGUCAUUUCAUUUUCCAUUCUCUCAGUCCUUGCAGUCAUUCUUCUUGUCAAGAGAUUUCUGUCCCUGUUGUGUCCUCAUUGUUUGUCCUGUCCCGUGUCACGGGCGUCCGCACACGUUUGUGUUGGCGCUGCUCUGCCCUGCCGCGUAGCCUGGUGUAAUAGGACACAUCCUGGGGGCUUGAAAUUUGUAAUGUGGGGUGUAGUUGGAUUCUAGAUGGUAUUCCUAGGUUGACUCUAGGAAGUUGUCUGGAGCUGUGAAGUUAUCCUGCUGCCCUUUGAACUUUGUCCUGACUCUGUUUCAGAUGCAGACAGAUAAAAUCCAUGGCAGAGCUCCCUAUCCCAGCAUUGUUCUUUUUGUUUAUUUUUAGGAAGUAAAGCCAUCUAGCAGCAGUCAAGGCAAAGUGGUCGAGGCAGUCCACUUUCAGUCCAUGCCAGCUGAGGAUGCCCGAUGCCAGGUACCUUCCAGGCAGACUCUGGAGUCAAAUCAAGAUUUGAGGUACCGCGAGGAGCUUCGUAGGCAAAGUUUGGAGAGAGCGCCACCGAAGCACACGAGACCGUCUCAACGUCCACGUCCCACCGGGGAUGGAUUUUGUCAGCUCGUCAUCCAAAAGCUAAGUGUCGGGGUCCAUAGUUGGGAGAAGGGGAAAAACCUUUACUAUCACAGGAGGCCAUGUGAUGUUAGCUUAGCGGAGCAAUCUGUAGCGGAACAGGUCCCUCGGAUAUAAAGGGAGAGGGUUUCUCCUCGGCCUCACCAGAGCCUUUGCCGGGCAGGGCAGUUCCGACCAGUCUCCACGUUCUCGCGAACUUUGCGUCGUCAGCCUCCUUCGACCCUCGACAUCGUCGUGGAUCUUUCUCCCGAGGAGCUCGCCUUCGGGUCCGGAGCUAUAGCCACCAUCACCCGGCAGUCAUUGCUUCCUUCUCUAGGCCCACCGAGCCUCUCGAGCAUCCUCUUAACUGCUUUGGCACUAACUUCUUUUAAGGAGUUGCAUUUCAUCGUCACACGCUAUUGCCAUAGGACUCGCUUUACUUUGGCAUCCUUGGCCUCUGGCUCAUCUUGCGCUAGGAAUCUUGAGUCCAUAAGGUGAAACUGCUAGGCAGUUUCCACCCGUGUCUGUGUUAUGUCACCUGUGUCUGUGUUACGUUGUCUACGUUACAGUGUCUGCGUUAUGUAGUCUGUGUCCAUCGUCUUCCGUGUCGUAGGCCUUUGUUACAUCUCAACGCCAUAUCGGCCUCAUUCCGUGCCGUAUCGGCCAUAUUUUACUCGCGUUCCUUCCCGGACAUUGCUUAUUCUGCCAUCUCUCUUUUGAGACACAAAGAAGUACACAAGAGGUUCUCAUCAGUCUUCCGUCUCAGCUGCGGUAGUGCCUUUUUCUUCCUGUGCUAUUCUCUUGGGCUUCUAUAGGGAGUGUCUUACACCCUCCUCAUGUGACUGCCAUAGUUCUGUAGGUUCCAUCUUCUCAAAGGGUACGGUGCUCAAGAAUUAAUCUUCCAGAGAGUUAUCCGAAGUCCUGGUUUACAUUGUAUGUGCUUAUGUUGUAUGUACCUAUGUUGGCUUAUAUUGUAUGUAAUUAUAUUGUAUGAAUCUAUGUUGGCUUAUAUUGUAUGUGCUUAUAUUGUAUGAAUCUAUGUUGGCUUAUAUUGUAUGUGCUUAUAUUGUAUGAAUCUGUUGGCAUAUAUUUGCAUGUACUUGUAUGGUAUGUAAUUCUGUUGGCUUAUAUUGUGCGUACUUGUAUGGUAUGUAAUUCUGUUGGCUCAUAUUGUGCGUAUUUAUAUCGCGCCACUUACGGUCGGAGCUGCCCUGCCCUGGCACGUAGUCACAGUUAGGUAGAACAGUUAUAAAAACUUUACCAUUCAUCUAUCUUCUAUGGGAUUUUGGGUAGAAAACUUAGGGGCCCGGAGCAGGGACAAGUCCUAGCCGUCAGCCACUCGUUGACCACCUCCCGUUGUCUCACAGGUCCCCGAGGCGACCGAUUUUCCUGGAAUCUACCAUUUGACGUGAAGGAGCGGCAGCCAGAUGACGCGUCGAAGCACGUUCAGGGUUUCAAGUAGGGCUGCAGCGAACGUGUGAGUCGAAGAGCGUGCGAGUCUGCGUGAGUGCGAGCGACUGUCUGCGUCCGCUUGUCUCUGCGUGUGCGAGUGUAUGCUGACCAGAUCUAACCUUGUGCGUGUGACGUUUUCCUUUCAGGUUUUUCAACACAUUUUAAAAUUUAGAAUAAAAAAUCCCCAGCCGGGGGGUUUUUUUUUUUUUUUCCCCCCGGCUGGGUUUUUUUUUCCUCGGUCCCAGCCGGUCCGCGAGGCGACGUUCAUCGCCAAAGUUUGGGGGCGGACCGUCCCGGGACCGGGGUUUUUGUCAGGCAGGAGGAUUUUUUUGGAGGCUCCCGGGAACCACGUUCCUGAGGAGCGGCACGAAUGCGUGCCGGGGGUCAGCAGGGCGGUUGAGGUGCGAGCGAGGGUGGGUUUGUGUGUAAGCUGAAGGAGAGCUGUGGGUGCGUGUGUUGAUGACUGGUUCUAACCUUGUGUGUAUGACUUUUUCCUUUCAGGUUUUUCAACACAUUUUAAAAUUUAGAAUAAAAAAUCCCCAGCCGGGGGUUUUUUUUUUUUUUCCCCCCGGCUGGGUUUUUUUUUCCUCGGUCCCGGCCGGUCCGCGAGGCGACGUUCAUCGCCAAAGUUUGGGGGCGGACCGUCCCGGGACCGGGGUUUUUGUCAGGCAGGAGGAUUUUUUUGGAGGCUCCCGGGAACCACGUUCCCGAGGAGCGGCACGAAUGCGUGCCGGGGGUCAGCGGGGCGGUUGAGGUGCGAGCGAGGGUGGGUUUGUGUGUAAGCUGAAGGAGAGCUGUGGGUGCGUGUGUUGUUGACUGGUUCUAACCUUGUGUGUAUGACUUUUUCCUUUCAGGUUUUUCAACACAUUUUAAAAUUUAGAAUAAAAAAUCCCCAGCCGGGGGGUUUUUUUUUUUUUCCCCCCGGCUGGGUUUUUUUUUCCUCGGUCCCGGCCGGUCCGUGAGGCGAUGUUCAUCGCCAGAGUUUGGGGGCGGACCGUCCCGGGACCGGGGUUUUUGUCAGGCAGGAGGAUUUUUUUGGAGGCUCCCGGGAACCACGUUCCCGAGGAGCGGCACGAAUGCGUGCCGGGGGUCAGCGGGGCGGUUGAGGUGCGAGCGAGGGUGGGUUUGUGUGUAAGCUGAAGGAGAGCUGUGGGUGCGUGUGUUGUUGACUGGUUCUAACCUUGUGUGUAUGACUUUUUCCUUUCAGGUUUUUCAACACAUUUUAAAAUUUAGAAUAAAAAAUCCCCAGCCGGGGGUUUUUUUUUUUUUUCCCCCCGGCUGGGUUUUUUUUUCCUCGGUCCCGGCCGGUCCGCGAGGCGACGUUCAUCGCCAGAGUUUGGGGGCGGACCGUCCCGGGACCGGGGUUUUUGUCAGGCAGGAGGAUUUUUCUGGAGGCUCCCGGGAACCACGUUCCAGGGGAGCACCGUGAAUGCGUGCCAGGGGUCAGCAGAGCGGUUGAGGUGCAAGCGAGGAUGGGUUUGCGUGUAAUGUGAAGGAGGUGUUCACAAUGGAUGCGUGUUGCGUUCUGUGUGCUGCCUUUGUUUUGGGGUUCCUGUAACAAUAAAUCCAAGUGUAAUGAAAGUAGAAACAAGGUUAUCAUCUUGUGUUAAUAUGUGUUUGGCUUAUGUUCGGUGUUGCCUUGUAUUUGCAUUUCUGUAUAUUGCUCUGUAUGUAAAAUGGACUUUUACCAGCAUGUGUAUGGAUUGUAUGUGUACUCGCAUUUGUAUACACUCUUUCCAUGUGUUUUGCUCAAGUGUAAAUAGGAAAAUUCAUUCAAUAAAGUCGAAUCAACCUGAAUAAAGAUUCCCCCACCCCCCCC
Long non-coding RNA from Passer domesticus (house sparrow), 4407 nucleotides. RefSeq lists it as uncharacterized. Lineage: Eukaryota; Metazoa; Chordata; Aves; Passeriformes; Passeridae. The record is from RefSeq and is a predicted model, not a curated record. The transcript is spliced from 5 exons.